CGUAAUACCAAGUAAUGUAAAUCUGAUCUUUUCUAUUUGAAUAAACUGAGACAGGACAUGUAUCUAAUGAGAAGAACUGGGUGGGUGAGGAUUCUUCCAGUUCAGUAAUAUAAGUCUCUUUGCUACUAUUAAACAAAAGGCGAGCAUGUUUGAUUGUAAGGAUGACAAGGAGGGAUUUGUGGUGUUGAGCCCAAAUAAUGCUAUAAGGGGACAUGGUUUAAUAUCUAAAAUAAAGUAUUCAGAGAUUGAUUUAAAAAUUGAUGUCCAGAAAGAGGUCAAGGCUGGGCAAAGCCAAAAAGUAUGAUAAAGAGUAGCCGGAGCCGCCGACACCCAUCACAAGUUGGAUCCAAACAAGGGUUAAUUUUAGAUAGUUUGGUCUUUGUCCAAUACACUCUAUGCAACAAUUUAAACUGUAUUAACGAAUGACGGACGCAUAUAGAGGAGGAAUGUACACGACCAAGAGCCUUGGACCAUUCCUCAUCCGUGAAAUUAUAAUUAAGGUCCGAUUCCCAGUUACUCUUUAUUUUAGAAAGCGAUGAAGAGCCCGAUUGAACAACAAAUGAAAAAAUAGUUUUAUAAAUAUGAGAGACAGUACCCUUACAAAGUUUUGUUUCUAAAACUCGAUCAAUCUCUUGUUUAGGAGGUGGGUGCAGGAAAUGAGAGGAUGUGUUCCUUACAAAAUCACGAAUUUGGAGAUAUCGGAAAAAAUGAGUUUUAUGGAGGUUGAAUUUUUCUGACAGCCAUUCAGUUAAAACUUCUGAGGAGAAGUGGGUUCCACACACCAGCCAUCAACCAGAAAAGAGGUUCAAGCAGUCUCCAAACUCAGCACCUGUUUCAACUCUACCAGUAUGAAAGCAGUGUAAGCUUUGCAGAUUUGCCCACAGAAGCACAGAGGUCUUCUUGAAACACUACAGGUUUCGGCACUAUCGAGGGCGAUCCCGGCAGCUUGUAUACUGACUGCAUCUGCACUUUUAAAACUUUAGGCUUCUGAUUUGCUGCUUAAAGAAAAGCUACAGCUCUCAAAGCUCUACCUUUGUUUAUGAGCGAAAAGUGAAACUUCCUGAAGUCUUGCCUGGUCAGGGGUUUUUUCAUGCUGGAACACCGUUCAUUACAAUGAGACGAUGAUGUAAGAUGACGAGCCAAACCACGGAGACGAAGCUGACUGAGGUGAACCCCUCAAACUAACCCAGGAACAGAGAAGGAACUUUCUGACCACCUGCUGGUUUUGCACAAACAGA
Molecule: long non-coding RNA, 1238 nt
Organism: Silurus meridionalis
Lineage: Eukaryota; Metazoa; Chordata; Actinopteri; Siluriformes; Siluridae
Exons: 5
Source: RefSeq, a predicted model, not a curated record